GGGGCAUUUGGCACGUACACGCGCGGACUUUUAAUCCGUGGGUUCAGGGUUCGAGCCCCUGGGGGCCUA
Molecule: transfer RNA, 69 nt
Filed under: Nocardiopsis camelliae
Lineage: Bacteria; Bacillati; Actinomycetota; Actinomycetes; Streptosporangiales; Nocardiopsidaceae
Description: Nocardiopsis sp. HUAS JQ3 tRNA-Lys
Source: RNAcentral